RNAcentral lists this ribosomal RNA (861 nucleotides) under Acinetobacter soli. Its description in RNAcentral is "bacterial SSU rRNA". It matches the Rfam family "Bacterial small subunit ribosomal RNA", at positions 194 to 1034 of the family's 1533-position model. The record is from RNAcentral. Lineage: Bacteria; Pseudomonadati; Pseudomonadota; Gammaproteobacteria; Moraxellales; Moraxellaceae.
UCUACGGAGAAAGCAGGGGAUCACUUGUGACCUUGCGCUAUAGAUGAGCCUAAGUCGGAUUAGCUAGUUGGUGGGGUAAAGGCCUACCAAGGCGACGAUCUGUAGCGGGUCUGAGAGGAUGAUCCGCCACACUGGGACUGAGACACGGNCCAGACUCCUACGGGAGGCAGCAGUGGGGAAUAUUGGACAAUGGGGGGNACCCUGAUCCAGNCNUGCCGCGUGUGUGAAGAAGGCCUUAUGGUUGUAAAGCACNUUUAGCGAGGAGGAGGCUNUUUUGGUUAAUACCCNAGAUGAGUGGACGUUACUCGCAGAAUAAGCACCGGCUAACUCUGUGCCAGCAGCCGCGGUAAUACAGAGGGUGCAAGCGUUAAUCGGAUUUACUGGGCGUAAAGCGCGCGNAGGCGGNCAAUUAAGUCAAAUGUGAAAUCCCCGAGCUUAACUUGGGAAUUGCAUUCGAUACUGGUNGGCUAGAGUGUGGGAGAGGANGGUAGAAUUCCAGGUGUAGCGGUGAAAUGCGUAGAGAUCUGGAGGAAUACCGAUGGCGAAGGCAGCCAUCUGGCCUAACACUGACGCUGAGGUGCGAAAGCAUGGGGAGCAAACAGGAUUAGAUACCCUGGUAGUCCAUGCCGUAAACGAUGUCUACUAGCCGUUGGGGCCUUUGAGGCUUUAGUGGCGCAGCUAACGCGAUAAGUAGACCGCCUGGGGAGUACGGUCGCAAGACUAAAACUCAAAUGAAUUGACGGGGGCCCGCACAAGCGGUGGAGCAUGUGGUUUAAUUCGAUGCAACGCGAAGAACCUUACCUGGCCUUGACAUAGUAGAAACUUUCCAGAGAUGGAUUGGUGCCUUCGGGAAUCUACAUA